This 484-nucleotide ribosomal RNA is filed under the name uncultured bacterium. Its description in RNAcentral is "partial 16S ribosomal RNA". It matches the Rfam family "Bacterial small subunit ribosomal RNA", at positions 30 to 507 of the family's 1533-position model. The record is from RNAcentral.
AUUAAACGCUGGCGGCAGGCCUAACACAUGCAAGUCGAGCGGAUGAAGGGAGCUUGCUCCUGGAUUCAGCGGCGGACGGGUGAGUAAUGCCUAGGAAUCUGCCUGGUAGUGGGGGAUAACGUCCGGAAACGGGCGCUAAUACCGCAUACGUCCUGAGGGAGAAAGUGGGGGAUCUUCGGACCUCACGCUAUCAGAUGAGCCUAGGUCGGAUUAGCUAGUUGGUGGGGUAAAGGCCUACCAAGGCGACGAUCCGUAACUGGUCUGAGAGGAUGAUCAGUCACACUGGAACUGAGACACGGUCCAGACUCCUACGGGAGGCAGCAGUGGGGAAUAUUGGACGAUGGGCGAAAGCCUGAUCCAGCCAUGCCGCGUGUGUGAAGAAGGUCUUCGGAUUGUAAAGCACUUUAAGUUGGGAGGAAGGGCAGUAAGUUAAUACCUUGCUGUUUUGACGUUACCAACAGAAUAAGCACCGGCUAACUUCGUG